RNAcentral lists this ribosomal RNA (385 nucleotides) under uncultured bacterium. RNAcentral's name for it is "bacterial SSU rRNA". It matches the Rfam family "Bacterial small subunit ribosomal RNA", at positions 1 to 353 of the family's 1533-position model. The record is from RNAcentral.
CCGGUCUCGCGAAUNCACUANAGCUUAAUUGAUCAUGGCUCAGAGUGCCCGCGGGGUUAUAGGCCUAACACAUGCAAGUCGAACGGCAGCACAGGAGAGCUUAGCUCUCUGAGGUGGCGAGAUGGCGGACGGGUAGAGGAAUACAUCGAGAAUCUACUCUGUCGUGGGGGAUAACGUAGGGAAACUUACGCUAAUACCGCAUACGACCUACGAGGUGAAAGCAGAGGAGAUCUUCGGACCUUGCGCGAUUGAAUGAGCCGAUGUCGGAUNUAGCUAGUAUGGCGGGGUAGAGGCCCACCAAGGCGACGAUACCGUAGCUAGGUCUGAGAGGAUGAUCAGCCACACUGGAACUGAGACACGGUCCAGACUCCUACGGGAGGCAGCA